GGAAACUGCCUGAUGGAGGGGGAUAACUACAGAAAACGGUAGCUAAUACCGCAUAACGUCGCAAGACCAAAGAGGGGGACCUUCGGGCCUCUUGCCAUCAGAUGUGCCCAGAUGGGAUUAGCUUGUUGGUGGGGUAACGGCUCACCAAGGCGACGAUCCCUAGCUGGUCUGAGAGGAUGACCAGCCACACUGGAACUGAGACACGGUCCAGACUCCUACGGGAGGCAGCAGUGGGGAAUAUUGCACAAUGGGCGCAAGCCUGAUGCAGCCAUGCCGCGUGUAUGAAGAAGGCCUUCGGGUUGUAAAGUACUUUCAGCGGGGAGGAAGGUGUUGUGGUUAAUAACCGCAACAAUUGACGUUACCCGCAGAAGAAGCACCGGCUAACUCCGUGCCAGCAGCCGCGGUAAUA
This 409-nucleotide ribosomal RNA is filed under the name uncultured bacterium. RNAcentral's name for it is "bacterial SSU rRNA". It matches the Rfam family "Bacterial small subunit ribosomal RNA", at positions 121 to 525 of the family's 1533-position model. The record is from RNAcentral.